AUUGGGCGUAAGGGCUCGCAGGCGGUUUCUUAAGUCUGAUGUGAAAGCCCCCGGCUCAACCGGGGAGGGUCAUUGGAAACUGGGAAACUUGAGUGCAGAAGAGGAGAGUGGAAUUCCACGUGUAGCGGUGAAAUGCGUAGAGAUGUGGAGGAACACCAGUGGCGAAGGCGACUCUCUGGUCUGUAACUGACGCUGAGGAGCGAAAGCGUGGGGAGCGAACAGGAUUAGAUACCCUGGUAGUCCACGCCGUAAACGAUGAGUGCUAAGUGUUAGGGGGUUUCCGCCCCUUAGUGCUGCAGCUAACGCAUUAAGCACUCCGCCUGGGGAGUACGGUCGCAAGACUGAAACUCAAAGGAAUUGACGGGGGCCCGCACAAGCGGUGGAGCAUGUGGUUUAAUUCGAAGCAACGCGAAGAACCUUACCAGGUCUUGACAUCCUCUGACAACCCUAGAGAUAGGGCUUUCCCUUCGGGGACAGAGUGACAGGUGGUGCAUGGUUGUCGUCAGCUCGUGUCGUGAGAUGUUGGGUUAAGUCCCGCAACGAGCGCAACCCUUGAUCUUAGUUGCCAGCAUUCAGUUGGGCACUCUAAGGUGACUGCCGGUGACAAACCGG
This 612-nucleotide ribosomal RNA is filed under the name Bacillus pumilus. RNAcentral's name for it is "bacterial SSU rRNA". It matches the Rfam family "Bacterial small subunit ribosomal RNA", at positions 553 to 1166 of the family's 1533-position model. Lineage: Bacteria; Bacillati; Bacillota; Bacilli; Caryophanales; Bacillaceae. The record is from RNAcentral.